UACAGAGGGUGCAAGCGUUAAUCGGAGUUACUGGGCGUAAAGGGCGCGUAGGCUGGUAUUUAAGUCGAUUGUGAAAUCCCUGGGCUUAACCUAGGAAUUGCAGUCGAUACUGAAUAUCUUGAGUAUGGUAGAGGAAAGUGGAAUUUUCGGUGUAGUGGUUAAAUACGUAGAUAUCGAGAAGAACACCGGUGGCGAAGGCGACUUUCUGGACCAAUACUGACGCUGAGGCGCGAAAGCGUGGGGAG
RNAcentral lists this ribosomal RNA (245 nucleotides) under uncultured bacterium. RNAcentral describes it as "partial 16S ribosomal RNA". It matches the Rfam family "Bacterial small subunit ribosomal RNA", at positions 524 to 768 of the family's 1533-position model. The record is from RNAcentral.